CAUGCAGUCGAGCGGGCAUUUUCGGAUGUCAGCGGCAGACGGGUGAGUAACACGUGGGAACGUACCCUUCGGUUCGGAACAACUCUGGGAAACUGGAGCUAAUACCGGAUACGCCCUUAUGGGGAAAGGUUUACUGCCNAAGGAUCGGCCCGCGUCUGAUUAGCUAGUUGGUGGGGUAACGGCCUACCAAGGCGACGAUCAGUAGCUGGNCUGAGAGGAUGAUCANCCACA
This 231-nucleotide ribosomal RNA is filed under the name bacterium V16. Its description in RNAcentral is "partial 16S ribosomal RNA". It matches the Rfam family "Bacterial small subunit ribosomal RNA", at positions 54 to 312 of the family's 1533-position model. The record is from RNAcentral.